ACAAAUACCCACCUUAUUACUACAAAUCUCCACCUCCACCAUCUCCCUCACCACCUCCUCCGUAUGUGUACAAGUCCCCACCACCUCCAUCUCCCUCUCCUCCUCCUCCAUAUGUCUACAAGUCACCACCUCCUCCAUCACCUUCACCUCCCCCACCAUAUGUCUAUAAGAGUCCACCACCACCCUCUCCAUCACCACCACCUCCAUAUGUCUACAAGUCUCCUCCUCCACCAACACCCUCACCUCCCCCGCCCUAUGUUUACAAGUCACCACCACCUCCUUCCCCUUCACCUCCUCCUCCAUAUGUCUACAAGUCACCACCUCCUCCAUCUCCUUCACCUCCCCCACCAUAUGUCUAUAAGAGUCCACCACCACCCUCUCCAUCACCACCACCUCCAUAUGUCUACAAGUCUCCUCCUCCACCAUCACCUUCUCCUCCCCCACCCUAUAUUUAUAAGUCGCCACCACCUCCAUCUCCUUCACCUCCUCCUCCAUAUGUCUACAAGUCACCACCUCCACCAUCCCCAUCUCCACCACCACCAUAUGUCUACAAAUCUCCACCCCCACCAUCACCUUCACCCCCUCCACCAUAUGUAUAUAAGUCACCACCUCCUCCAUCUCCCU
This 624-nucleotide long non-coding RNA is filed under the name Medicago truncatula (barrel medic). Its description in RNAcentral is "long non-coding RNA (MTRU_LNC001934)". The record is from RNAcentral. Lineage: Eukaryota; Viridiplantae; Streptophyta; Magnoliopsida; Fabales; Fabaceae.